Molecule: long non-coding RNA, 330 nt
Filed under: Vitis vinifera (wine grape)
Lineage: Eukaryota; Viridiplantae; Streptophyta; Magnoliopsida; Vitales; Vitaceae
Description: long non-coding RNA (VVIN_LNC008200)
Source: RNAcentral
AAGGAUGCAGACUAUGAAGCACACCAACUUGUAUGAAACUCACAUGAUGAUUAAAUUAAAUAGGAAAGACAAAGAAAGGUGUUUCCAGGAUAGAGAAUACUGCUUAAAGAGGCCAAUCAUGUAAACAGGAGUGCAUCUGCAUCUAAACUUGCUGUAAACUAUGAUGAUGAGAUGAGAUCUAUGCAAUUAAGGAGACCUUCCAUAUCAGCUACCACUAGAUUGUAAAUCAAUGAAGUUUUGGAUUGGAAUAAUCAACCAAUUGCAAGAGUGCUUGAUCUUUUUAUUACUGUUAAAGCAUGUCAUGAAUUCAUCCAAAAUAGUGAACUUGAU